UGCUGGCAGUGCGUCUUAAGCAUGCAAGUCAAACGGGAUGUAGCAAUACAUUUAGUGGCGAACGGGUGAGUAACGCGUGGAUGAUCUACCUACGAGAUGGGGAUAACUAUUAGAAAUAGUAGCUAAUACCGAAUAAAGUCAAUUAAUUUGUUAAUUGAUGAAAGGAAGCCUUUAAAGCUUCGCUUGUAGAUGAGUCUGCGUCUUAUUAGCUAGUUGGUAGGGUAAAUGCCUACCAAGGCGAUGAUAAGUAACCGGCCUGAGAGGGUGAACGUCACACUG
Molecule: ribosomal RNA, 279 nt
Filed under: uncultured Borrelia sp.
Lineage: Bacteria; Pseudomonadati; Spirochaetota; Spirochaetia; Spirochaetales; Borreliaceae
Description: partial 16S ribosomal RNA
Rfam family: Bacterial small subunit ribosomal RNA
Source: RNAcentral